UGUUAGUACCUAAACUAAUUCCAGAAGUUCUGUAAUUCCCGUGCUUUCCAUGGAAGUCAUCCUUACGCAGCAUUUCCAAAAGGGACUUUGUGAUCAAAACACUCAACUAGUUAUGAAGACGACAAAUCUGAACAGUUCUAGUUCUCCCCACUCAGGAGCUAGGCUAAUGAAGAACCUAGAGACAAAAAAUAACGCACGUUCGCACUGAACUAUACUUGUUUCCAAAAUACCACUCCUGAGAUUUAAGAAGGACGUCAGGACCUUGGCCAGCUCUGCGAAAGCCCUGUGGGCGGUAAAGCGGGGUCCCUCAAGACCCCAUAGAAGCCGGGGCUUGAGAGACGAGGCAGAGGUCGAACCUCGUGGGCAGAAUGGCUGGCGAACCCCAUGCUAACGCUCGGCGCUGUCCCCCGGAGGGGGUUGCUCACAGAGUGGGUGACCCAGCAGAGAUGCUCUCCAUGGGAUUCCGUGGCCCGGUGGCAUUCCAGUCCUGCGCCUGCUGCAAGGGCUCACAGGACGCCGAGCGGAAGGGGCGGUGCUUGCGGCGGAAGUUGCUGUCUCAGGUGACGCGGGAGGCCCUGCGGCGCGCAGAGCUAGGGUUCAGAAGGCAUGGCACUCUGGCGGGCGUACCAAAGGGCCCUGGCUGCUCACCCGUGGAAAGUCCAGGUCCUGACGGCUGGGUCCCUGAUGGGCCUAGGUGACAUUAUCUCACAGCAGCUGGUGGAGAGGCGGGGUCUGCAGGAACACCAGACAGGCCGAACCCUAACCAUGGUGUCCCUGGGCUGUGGCUUUGUGGCCCCUGUACUAGGAGGCUGGUACAAGGUGUUGGACCGGCUCAUCCCUGGCACCACCAAGGUGGAUGCACUAAAGAAGAUGUUGUUGGAUCAGGGGGGGUUUGCCCCGUGUUUUUUAGGCUGCUUCCUCCCAUUGAUGGGGACACUCAAUGGACUGUCAGCCCAGGAUAAUUGGGCCAAAUUACAGAGGGAUUAUCCUGAUGCCCUCCUCACCAACUACUAUCUCUGGCCUGCUGUGCAGUUAGCCAACUUCUACCUAGUCCCCCUGCAUUACAGAAACUGUUCCAGAGUGUCCCCCACUGACCUUCUAUCAUCUCGCUAUGGAGGAUCCUGCUUCUACAACUCUUGUCUCCAUCCCACCUGAGCUCUCCACCUUUGAUGGCAUAUCUGCAGAGACAGUGCCUCACUGGGGUGCUGCAUCCUAGGUUAGACAGAAAGGUAGACCUAAAGGCUUUGUCAGGUUGGCUGUUGUCCAGUGUGUUGCUGUCAUUUGGAACUCCUACCUGUCGUGGAAAGCACAUCAGUUCUAGCCUGCCUUGCUUCAUCAUUGCCACCUGCAAUGAUUCACCAUGAUCCCGGGAUUGUCAGACAGUCUCCUCAAAAUGGGCAUAUCAAUGUCCAUGGGGGUGGAAGUGCUGGUCAAAACUUGAUGAGAUGAGCACUCUGAAAUGGGACAUUUCAUUUUAAACUGUAAACUGCUUCUGAAAAUCACUAGCCCUUUAUAAUACAUUCAUGCAAGGCUUAUCAACAGUA
This is an RNA transcript of Marmota flaviventris (yellow-bellied marmot), 1544 nucleotides long. It is a transcript of the gene named mitochondrial inner membrane protein MPV17, with no coding region annotated. The record is from RefSeq and is a predicted model, not a curated record. NCBI's taxonomy places the organism in Eukaryota, Metazoa, Chordata, Mammalia, Rodentia, Sciuridae.